GACGAACCGUGCGAACGUUAUUCGGAAUCACUGGGCUUAAAGCGCGUGUAGGCGGGCCGCCACGUCGGCUGCUGAAAUCCCCCGGCUCAACCGGGGAAGGGGCGCCGAUACGACCGGCCUGGAGGGGCGUAGGGGGACCUGGAACUUCCGGUGGAGCGGUGAAAUGCGUUGAGAUCGGAAGGAACGCCCGUGGCGAAAGCGAGGUCCUGGACGCCAUCUGACGCUGAGACGCGAAAGCCAGGGGAGCGAACGG
RNAcentral lists this ribosomal RNA (253 nucleotides) under uncultured bacterium. RNAcentral's name for it is "partial 16S ribosomal RNA". It matches the Rfam family "Bacterial small subunit ribosomal RNA", at positions 524 to 775 of the family's 1533-position model. The record is from RNAcentral.